RNAcentral lists this small RNA (113 nucleotides) under unclassified sequences. RNAcentral's name for it is "LOOT RNA". It matches the Rfam family "LOOT RNA". From Rfam's summary of the family: Latescibacteria, OD1/Parcubacteria, OP11, TM7. Lineage (Microgenomates, aka OP11) The record is from Rfam by way of RNAcentral.
AGCCUAAACCGAUUUUUCGGCAUGGUUAAAAGACCCAUGAAAGAUACUGAACCCCGCGUUCAGCGACUCUUUCAUGGGCUAUAUCAGGAAACUGGUAUAGGGUCGUAAGACCU